Molecule: long non-coding RNA, 712 nt
Organism: Mus musculus (house mouse)
Lineage: Eukaryota; Metazoa; Chordata; Mammalia; Rodentia; Muridae
Product: predicted gene 16068
Exons: 2
Source: RefSeq, a predicted model, not a curated record
CAACCCAUCUGCCUGCAUGCUGCCAUGCUUCCCGCCAUGACGAUAAUGGACUAAACCUCUGCACUAUGUAUUGUUUCUACGUGUGUGCCUGUACGAGUUUGUAUGCGCUCAUGUGUAGGAAUCCAUGGAAGCCAGAAGAGAACACUGGAUUCCCUGGAGCUGAAGUUACAGAUCAAGAGCCAUUGUAUGGAUGCUGGGAACUGAACCUGGAUCAUCUAAUAAGAGCAGUAAGCAAUCUUAACCACUAUAACCAUCUCUCUAGCCCCAUUUUAUUCUUAAUAGAAUAUUCUUAAUAGAAGCCAUAGCCCAGAGAAUCCCAUACAGGUAGACCUUGUUUUUAAAAACAAAACAAAACUGUCUUUGUAAUCUUUGUGCAUCAUUGUGUAGCUUUCCACAAUUGGCUCUGAUCAACUUAAAAUCCGAACCAUGUGUAUGUUACCAUUUCACUGAGUCCUGGUUCCCUUAUGUAUGGAAAGCUUUGUGAAGUUUGCAUGCUUUUCUCCUAAUAAUCCAUCUUAGAUCAGUUUGCCUCUCAGACCCAGUCAGUACAGGUUCAGUGCCAACUCCUUAAUCCUUUAGGUUUUCAGUACUUCCUUUCCAGCUGUUUGGUUAUCUUUUCCUUGCUCCGUUUGCUGUUUUCCAUUUUCCUCCCCUCUAGCUGAAUAAUUUCUCAUUUUCAAUGUUUACAAAUUAAAGAUUUGAAUAAGUAGUA